UUGAUCAGAAUGAGCAGUCCUCGUAUGAACUUGCAAUCAAGUAUUUUGAUAAUCGAGUGACGAAUGACACCUUACAUGUUCAUCUACUAGAAAAAAAAUACGAGGAGUUGGAGUUUGAAAAUAAUGAGGAUGCUGUGAAGAUCACAUUAGUCUACUACACGGAGGUUGCAAUGAUGGAAAAGAACAAACGGAAAAAUGCAAUGGACCUUAAAAGUUUUAAAGACAUUCAAAACAUAGAAUACUACAAUAGUCUAGACUGAGGUACCAUUAUUUGGGAGAGGACACUCGAUGCCCUAAAGAAUGCAUUGAAUGAUAAGAGUAGUCUAUACAAAAUGAAGGUGAAGGGAAAUAAAAAUAACGUCGUGAAGUACUCUUUGUGUGGAUUUCCGGCGUUCCAGCAUCAAUAGCUGGGAACAUUGCGGAGCGAAGGAGCAAGGUGGUUUUGUCUUGCAUAUUACAAUGGUCAUGCUCCCACUCAGUGUCCUUCAAAGUAAUCAAGAGAGACAUAUUCGAGUAAAACAAUGAUUUCAACAAAGAUUCUAAGUAUCGCAAGUAACGUCAACGCAUGGACAUGCGUCGGAGGGAUUUCAAAGCAACAAAGAUUCAUUGACUCAAGCUGUUUGUGUCAAAUCACCACUUGCAAGCAUGGGC
Molecule: non-coding RNA, 651 nt
Organism: Benincasa hispida (wax gourd)
Lineage: Eukaryota; Viridiplantae; Streptophyta; Magnoliopsida; Cucurbitales; Cucurbitaceae
Source: RefSeq, a predicted model, not a curated record